This 582-nucleotide ribosomal RNA is filed under the name uncultured bacterium. RNAcentral describes it as "bacterial SSU rRNA". It matches the Rfam family "Bacterial small subunit ribosomal RNA", at positions 338 to 916 of the family's 1533-position model. The record is from RNAcentral.
CCUACGGGAGGCAGCAGUGGGGAAUAUUGGACAAUGGGCGAAAGCCUGAUCCAGCCAUGCCGCGUGAAGGAUUAAGGUCCUCUGGAUUGUAAACUUCUUUUAUAAGGGACGAAAAAAGGUCUUUCUAGAUCGUCUGACGGUACCUUAUGAAUAAGCACCGGCUAACUCCGUGCCAGCAGCCGCGGUAAUACGUAGGGUGCGAGCGUUAAUCGGAAUUACUGGGCGUAAAGCGUGCGCAGGCGGUUGUGUAAGACAGGUGUGAAAUCCCCGGGCUUAACCUGGGAACUGCGCUUGUGACUGCACGGCUAGAGUACGGCAGAGGGGGGUGGAAUUCCACGUGUAGCAGUGAAAUGCGUAGAGAUGUGGAGGAACACCGAUGGCGAAGGCAGCCCCCUGGGCCUGUACUGACGCUCAUGCACGAAAGCGUGGGGAGCAAACAGGAUUAGAUACCCUGGUAGUCCACGCCCUAAACGAUGUCGACUAGUUGUUCGGAAAGGAAACUUUCUGAGUAACGCAGCUAACGCGUGAAGUCGACCGCCUGGGGAGUACGGUCGCAAGAUUAAAACUCAAAUGAAUUGACGG